RNAcentral lists this long non-coding RNA (220 nucleotides) under Lathyrus oleraceus (garden pea). Its description in RNAcentral is "Pisum sativum (pea) long non-coding RNA (PSAT_LNC024794)". Lineage: Eukaryota; Viridiplantae; Streptophyta; Magnoliopsida; Fabales; Fabaceae. The record is from RNAcentral.
AAAAGUUAUUUACAACACACUUAAAAAUUAAAACAAAAAAAAUAAAAUCAACAAGUAUUUAAAAAAUGGGAUUACAUAAAAGGUUACGAAAAUGGUAAAAUAAAUUGUAAGAAGUUAUAAAAAAAUCAAUAAAAUGGCAAUUAAAAAAUAAAAACAAGUGGAAAAAGCAUUUGUUGUCACCAGGGAUCCAACCCAUGGCCUAAUGGGAAGUGGCGAAUUC